UCAAAGAUUAAGCCAUGCAUGCCUCAGUAUAAGCAACUUGUACUUGUAAAACUGCGAAUGGCUCAUUAAAUCAGUUAUAAUUUAUUUGAUAAUGAUUUUACUACAUGGAUAGCCGUAGUAAUUCUAGAGCUAAUACAUGCAAUAAAGCCCGACUCGAUGAGGGAAGGGUUGUAUUUAUUAGGUCCAAAACCAACGCAGGGUUUGUAGGAGGCGAAGGAAGGAAGGAAGUUUACUUUCUUUCUUUUUUCCUUUUCUGCGUUCCCGAAGCAUUGGUGAAUCAUAAUAAAAAGUCGAAUCGAAUUUUAUUCGAUGUAUCAUUCAAAUUUCUGCCCUAUCAACUUGAUGGUAGGAUAGAGGCCUACCAUGGUUUUGACGGGUAACGGAGAAUUAGGGUUCGAUUCCGGAGAGGGAGCCUGAGAAAUGGCUACUACUUCUAAGGAAGGCAGCAGGCGCGCAAAUUACCCAAUCCCAACUAUGUUGGGGAGGUAGUGACAAAAAAUACCGAUGCUGUAUCUUUUACAGAUGCAGUAAUUGGAAUGGUUUGGAAGCAAACCGUCCAUAGAGCAGCCAUUAGAGGGCAAGUCUGGUGCCAGCAGCCGCGGUAAUUCCAGCUCUAAUAGUGUAUACUAAAAUUGCUGCAGUUAAAAAGCUCGUAGUUGGAUUUUGGAUGGAACAAGAUACCUUACUUUGCUGUGUGGAUCUGUUGUGUGUGGUUCUGAUUACUUGAGGACUCGCAUGACGUUCUGCAUGGUCGUAAAGGUUGUUUCGUCCCUGUCGAAAGACAUAUUUUUCGGAAAUGUUCCAUCCCCUUAAUUGGGUGAUGGAGUAUUUUCGGAGGAUUUACUUUGAAGAAAUUGUUGUGUUUAAAGCAGGCGUUUCGCAGCUGAACACAUUAGCAUGGAAUAAUAAAAUAGGACAUCUGAGUUAGGUACUUGCCUUUUGUUUCCGCCGAUAAUCUUCCGAGUAUAUUCCUAGGGUAUUGUUCUCAUUUUUUUUUAUGGAAAGAGGGGGGACAUUCUCUCUUUGUGGAGGCUCUUCUUUCUUCGGGAAGGAGGGUUGAAAUGAAGGGAGGGUUAGUCUUUUUUUUUUUUUUCAUUGAAAUGGUGGAGGAUAUUUCUAGCUUGAGUAUACUUGAGGUUAUUGGUAAUUAAUUUUUCAAAGGAGGAAGGGAGAGAGGCCUAGCUAUCAUUUAUGUAUAUCUAUUUUGUUGGUUCAUGGAGAAGGUGUAAUGAUUAAUAGGGACAGUUGGGGGCAUCCGUAUUGCAUUGUCAGAGGUGAAAUUCUUGGAUUUAUGCAAGACGAACUAGUGCGAAAGCAUUUGCCAAGGAUGUUUUCAUUAAUCAAGAACGAAAGUUAAGGGAUCGAAGGCGAUCAGAAACCGCCGUAGUCUUAACUAUAAACUAUACCAACUAGGGAUUGGAAAGUGUUUUAUAAUGGCCUCCUCAGCACCUUUAGAGAAAUCAAAGUCUCUGGGUUCUGGGGGGAGUAUGGUCGCAAGGCUGAAACUUAAAGAAAUUGGCGGAAGGGCACCACCAGGUGUGGAGCCUGCGGCUUAAUUCGACUCAACACGGGGAAACUCACCAGGUCCAGACACAGGAAGGAUUGACAGAUUGAUAGCUCUUUCUUGAUUCUGUGGGUGGUGGUGCAUGGUCGUUCUUAGUUGGUGGAGUGAUUUGUCUGGUUAAUUCCGAUAACGAACGAGACCUUAACCUGCUAAAUAGCUCAGCCUCAAAAGUUUCUUUUGAGGUAUAUGGGCUUGGAGGGGGGGGUAAGGUAGUUCUUCUGCUUUGCCCCUCUCUUUAGUCUUGAUAGAGCUUCUUAGAGGGACUACCAUGGUUGCACAUGGUGGAAGCUUGAGGCAAUAACAGGUCUGUGAUGCCCUUAGAUGUCCUGGGCCGCACGCGCGCUACAAUGAUGCAAUCAGCAAGGUUGUGCUGUCCCGAAAGGGUUGGCUAAUCUUGUCAAUUUGCAUCGUACUGGGGAUUGAUCUUUGUAAUUUUGGAUCAUGAACUAGGAAUACCUCGUAAGUGCAUGUCAUCAGCAUGCGCUGAUUACGUCCCUGCCCUUUGCACACACCGCCCGUCGCUCCUACCGAUUGAAUGAUCAGAUGAAAUGCCCGGAUGCGUGGCGCGCUGCUCUUUACGGGGUGGUGUGCUGUGCAGAAGAGUAUUGAAUCUUAUUAUUUAGA
RNAcentral lists this ribosomal RNA (2188 nucleotides) under Oxymonas sp. Glx476OxA. RNAcentral's name for it is "partial small subunit ribosomal RNA". It matches the Rfam family "Eukaryotic small subunit ribosomal RNA". Lineage: Eukaryota; Preaxostyla; Oxymonadida; Oxymonadidae. The record is from RNAcentral.